CAGACGGCUCACUGGAGGGAACGUUACAGGAAACUGUAGACUCAAAAUCAACGAGCAGUUCUACUUCUAUGAUUGGGUCACCCCUAUCUCAGACAUCCACUCAAGUAAAAAGAUGUCCCGCAAAGCACACAACACCUGAAAAUGUUGUGAAGUUAUCCUUCCCCGAAUAUGUAUUGCACACUGACACCAAACUAGAGCAAUGCCGAAAACAAUAUUUUGAGUUGGCGAAGGCCGGCGAAGAGAGAAACUGCCAAAUGUCAAAGGACCUCAGAUGUCGGCUCAUCCGAAACACCAUGACCAGUAUGAUCGCAAUCCUGAGGGCAACGGGGGACAGAGACAGAUACCCGUCAAAGCCAGAAAUAACAGCUAUGGCAAAGCGAACAGUGCUGUACUACCCCAUGCUGCAGGGCCGAGACCUGAGCAGCAAGUAUGCAUGGGUAGGUCAAAUGCAUCCAGGUGCAUGUUUGAUGUUUGAAGCAUUUAUUUGAAUUUUUCUUGUCACAGGUUACUGUGUACUCACAGCUAUACAAAAGAUUGAAAAAUUUGAGAUCACCCCAAAAGACCAAUCCAAAGAGGCGCCGACUCGAGGAGCUAAAGUGCCAACCUGACUGACCCAGAUGAAUUUGAUUCAAGUGACUCAACAGUCAUUCUGGAUCUCCCCUCAAAAGGGGGUAGCAUUCAAGCAUUCAAGACUUCCCUUCUGAAGGGAGUAGCACCCCAGACUCGGGCAACAAUGCCAGAUAUGCCCGCAUCUUUGCGUAAGAAGAAAACUCCAAACCGUGAGUCCGUCUCUCAGCUCCUGGGUUUGGAAUUUUCAGCCAGAAGAGCAUUCAUUGAUUCUUUUUGCGAGGAGGACAGACACAAGAAAAUUCCAGAGGACAUUGGACAUGUGAUGGAGGAGCUUCAACGCAUUCUGGACAAAAAUAACAUCCAUUACAUUGAUGAGCUGAAGGGAAGAUGGGACGACUUCUGCCAGAAGGUGCAGUUUUUUGGUGUGUGGAAAAAGCUGCUGAAACCCUCAGUAGGAAUGGACAAAGAAGUUAGGACAUGUGAGUGAGGCUCUUGUGCAUGUCCUCAAGGAAAAAGAAGACCCCAAUGACUAUUUGAAGAAACGUCGUCUCUCCUGCCCAGUCCUUAUUGUGAGUUUGUCCAACUGCCUCCUGGCUGUAGGAGAUGUGCUGAUAACUACGCUCCCAAAAGACAAGGUAACACAGGGUGUUUUAUACCUUACGGCCUACUAUUAUGCUCUACACCUUACUUACCCCAGGUGCGUAGCCACUCUGCUCUCUGUCAUAAAAACGGAGGUUCUCUUGGACACAAUCCAUGAGCGAGACCUCACACCAUCUUUCAAGAAGGGCAUGGCUGACUGGAAAGCUUUUGUUGGCAAGUAAAGCCGUUUCCAUUCUUAUUUAGCAAAUGUUUCCCAAUGUUAAGGUCGCAAUAAUAACAAUGUUGUUGAUCUAUUGAGGGACACAGUGGUCAAAUAUUUAUGUUAAUGUUAGCCCAAGACCCAUAACUUGUUGCAAUAAUAAGCACAUUGUAAGUGUAUUGAGGAGACAGAGGUCAGAUGAUUAUGUCUGACUGUAAUCCAUGUGUUACACAUAUAUGUCAUGUUUUGCUAUGUUUUUUUACUAUUAUUAGUAUUUUAUUACAGUGCCAUACACACUGCGCCAAAACAUGACUGGUGCUGCAGGCACAGUGUAACUGACUGACUGCACUGUAUUGUAAGAAUUGUUUGCUCCCUCCUGCAUUUCAGAGCUAAAGAGGCAUGCUCUUUCUUAUGCAAAUAAAAUAUUUGUUUGUUUAAUGCACAACUUGUUUUCAU
Molecule: long non-coding RNA, 1825 nt
Organism: Gasterosteus aculeatus aculeatus (three-spined stickleback)
Lineage: Eukaryota; Metazoa; Chordata; Actinopteri; Perciformes; Gasterosteidae
Source: Ensembl